UCUGGUCAAACUGAAAAUUAAUGAUAAUAAAUAAAUAAAUGGUUGGGGAAAAAAAAUAAACCUUUUCUCUUCUGCAUGAGCAUUUAAGUUGGGCCCCACAGCUCAGCAAUUAUUUUUCCUCUCUUCCUCCUCCAGGUCAGGAUUUGGGGCAGGCACUACAGGCCCAGGGCAGGGAUUCACACCCGGGUUGGCCAUGUGGGAUCCGACUCCCUUAACUCCUUGGGGAGGGAGUGAAGGCCGUCGGCGAGGGGCGGGGCCUCGGCGAGGGGCGGGGCGCGGCUAGACCCGCCCCCUCUGGUCCGGGUAGGCGGUGAGAAGGCGCGAGCAGCGACAGGAGCGGGACCUGUGGUGAGGGGCGGGGCCUCGUCAGGGGCGGGGUCGCAGCAGGGGCGGGGCGCUGGUCAGCCCCGCCCCCAGCCGCGGAGUAGGCCGUGAGGGCGCGAGCCGAGCUCAGUGGGCGGGGCUUAGGGCGCGUGGCGUGGCGGGAACUGCACACGGCUGCGGGCGCGGCGCUGACGUCACCGACCGGCGUCUUGGGAAGACGCCAAGAUGGCGGCGAGCAGUGUUCCGGCUCCGGGCAGGACGCCGACCCGCAGAACAGGAACCUGCCCAGAGCCACAGGAGGCUGGAGAAGCGGGGCCGGGGCCAGCCACACAUGGUCGGGGACUCAAACCUCAGCCCCGUGUGGGGCCCGGCCGCUGCACUCGGUCGCACCCUGGCACCCCGUGGGAGUGGACUCACACCGUGCGACCUUCGGUGGCUGGUUCCGCUGGGCACGGCACCUUCCUGUACCAUAGUGUUUGAUCCACAUAGAAGGCUGUGUUCGCUAGGCUCGGCCCUGGAAUACCUAUCUUGGACCCUGGGCAGGAGGGUGGAGAGUUCAAGGCCGGCCUGGGCAGCACAAGCUGGAGUCUCUCAACACAACAGGAACAGGAAGGCAGGUGCCUCUGGCCGCGACCUUGGCCCCGUUUUACAGGUGAGGAGACAGGUGAGGAGACAGGCGCGGAGAAGCCUGGCGGGGUGCCGGGGUCCCUCGAGCCCUGGUCUUGAUGGCGUGCCUCCGAGUCUGUGUCCUGACCCCCACUCAAGUCCUGAAGGGUGCAUGAGGGCCAGCAUCCUGGUGAAAGGCCCCUUCCUCCAUGGGGACCGGAGGCACGCCUGGCCUGACCGCCCUGCCCUGCCCUGACCGCCCUGCCCUGCCCGCCCUGCCCGCCCUGCCGCAGAACCGCCGAGCGGCUGCCCUGGCCGCUUCCCUGGGCCUGGGGCUGCUGUCCACUCCUGGGAGCCCUCAGGCCCCAGGCUGGGGCAGUGUCUUUGUUCACGACUUUAGCAAACGGGAACCGACCAGGGCUUGCUUUGCUGUGGCUGGUCUAUUUCUGCCCGCUCUGCUGGUCUCAGUGAGCUGCUGGUCUCGUUUCUGUUGGCGCGGCCUUACCCGAGGGUCCCCGGUUACAGCCUGUUGUCUCCCGUGUUUCUGUCUGCGUGCUCCGGGGGCGGGCCUCGUUCUUGCUGAGUCUCGGGUGGCCUGUGCUUCUGCACGCGCGGGCUCAGCUGCAGCGGGCAGGCAGCAGGCGAGGCUGGCGGGCGAUGCGCGGCCCAGACACCCGUGCUCACUCACUCGGCCCUCAGUGCUCACGUGCUCUCGGGUGCUGCCCGCACCUCCGAGACGGGGCCAGGACGAGCCCAAGGUCUCAGGUCUCCGACUGCAAAGCCAGCGAAGUCGUCUCUCGUGAGGGCCAGGGGUCCGUUCGCUGUGUCCUCACCCUUGAUCCUGGAUGACCUCCACAGACAGGGGUGACGGAACCCUCCUGUCCGGCCCCGCCCCACACUUCUGGGGCAGCGAGCGUCCACGUCCACUCACAGUGGGAGAGGUUCGGGGCUUCUGUCACCCCGGAAGCCGCUGGUCACCGAGGAGCUGGGUCUUGGGGCAGUGGAGGAAGUGAGUCAGAGCCCGGGCCGGGCUGCUGUCUGCCUCCCACGAGCCGCGCCGUGUCACCAUCCCCUGCUGCAGCCAGAGCUGGCCACCAGCCACCCCUGCCAGUGACACGACUUGGCAGGGGGUGGGAACACAGGGGUCCCGGCUCACAGCCUCAUCCCACGGCACCCGCCGGGCAGUCCCUGCUGCUGCUGCCACUCCAGACGGCCCUGAGCCCCCGCCGGUUCCAGACGUUUUCUUGGCCACAGCUGAGGGCCGUGAACUGAAGUUUUUGUUGUUAAUUUCCCAGAGAGCGUGUGUACUUGCCGGAGAGCGACAGAGCAAUGCAGAGAAGCGUGGCCGCCAGGCCGCGGGCCGAGCAGACGAGCCCCUGCCGCGACCAGGCGCCCAAGGAGCCACACUGCUGGGGACGGGGACGGAGGAGCGGUCCCAGAAGGGAGCGGCCGGCUGCGGAUGCGGGAGCGGUUGCUAGGAGACGCGACGCCGCACCAGGCAGCACUGCCACGGGACCCUCCCACGAGGGCUGAUCUGCAAAGGAAAUCCACACCGGAUGAGUAAGGCCCCGUCGGUCUUCCCGGUGUGUGCCUCCAGCACUGGAAGUGGCGAGAGAGAACGCCGACAAUUUAAAAUAGUGCGCAGAAAAAGGGAACCGGCCGGCUGGUGUACGGACCCCACGCGGCCAACCUCGCAGCUCCAGGCCCAGACCCGGCGGCUUGAGAAACAUACAGGACAUGAGUCACGCGCCCAGGAUACCAGGGGGAGGCCGGAGGCCACGGGAUUGUGGCGUGGCCAUCCCUCGCCCCCCGGAGCGAUUUCUCACUUCUCCUCCCUCUCUCCUCGGCAAGCA
This is a long non-coding RNA of Tupaia belangeri chinensis (Chinese tree shrew), 2783 nucleotides long. RefSeq lists it as uncharacterized. The record is from RefSeq and is a predicted model, not a curated record. Lineage: Eukaryota; Metazoa; Chordata; Mammalia; Scandentia; Tupaiidae. The transcript is spliced from 5 exons.